This is a regulatory RNA element of Segniliparus rugosus ATCC BAA-974, 79 nucleotides long. It matches the Rfam family "6C RNA". NCBI's taxonomy places the organism in Bacteria, Bacillati, Actinomycetota, Actinomycetes, Mycobacteriales, Segniliparaceae. The record is from Rfam.
GGCGCUCAGCCUGACCCCCCGGGGCUGAGCGCGACGGCCCUAGUAUCCCUCCCCCACGAACACGCUGGGGCCGUCCUAU